This is a long non-coding RNA of Pan troglodytes (chimpanzee), 5582 nucleotides long. RefSeq lists it as uncharacterized. The record is from RefSeq and is a predicted model, not a curated record. The transcript has 3 exons. Lineage: Eukaryota; Metazoa; Chordata; Mammalia; Primates; Hominidae.
CUGUAGACUUAAACAUAGGAAAGAUGGCCAGUGUUGUGACACCUGUAUUUUACUGCAAAUACAAAAGAAUAACUGUAAAUAACUGUAAGCCAGUGCACGGCUAGUACAAUGAUCUGGCCGCCCACGGUAUGACUGAGGAUGUCCAUUUUCAGACCCUCCACAUUUGCUGAAAGCAGGAGCGAUCCCCUGGAAACCCUCCCAGAUACAGGUGGAGAAACAAUGGAGUCAUGGACCGAGUCUUUGAUCUCUAGCACAAAGACCUUAUGUCAACCCAUCAGCCAGGAAACACAGUUCUCAUGAAGUUCACACACUGAAGAGGAGAGCUGUGUGCUCCAUGAGAGACGGACAAGAUCAAUUGGUAACUUCCCUUGAGAAACAGAGGGGCCGGAAUGCAUGCCAGCUUGAGCCAGAGCCACAGCAAGGCCAGGCAGGCCCAUCAGCCACGAGCAUGGCUGUGUCAUGAGCAGAGGCAAACUCCCCCUGGGGCCUCUCACGUUUCUCAAUUUCUUUCAUGGGAGGCACAAACUGCCGUUUGUUUUAGAAUAUCUUUUCAAGUAUUUGCACUGCAAAACGACAAUGAAACAACAAGAACCAGCCAGAUAGACAUAAUGUCUUCAGAGCAAAGGGUAGAGGCAAGAAAAAAGGUGAAGGAAAAAGAAGGGGAGGGGAGGGCAGGGCAGGGGAGGGCAGGGGAUCUCGGCUCACUGCAACCUCCACUUCCCAGGUUCAAGCAAUUUUCCUGCCUCAGCCUCCUCAGUAGCUGGGAUUACAGGCGCCUGCCACCAGGCUCAGCAAAUUUUUGUAUUUUUAGUACAGAUGGGCUUUCACCACGUUGGCCAGGCUGGUCUCGAACUCCUGACCUCAAGUGAUCUGCCCACCUUGGCUUCCCAAAGUGCUGGGAUUACAGGCAUGAGCCACCGUGCCCGGCCCUGCGAGUCUGUUUUGAUUGGAUUUGUUUGACUUUAAACCCAUUCGGAAGAGUUUUCCUGGAAUUGCUACUCUCGGAGACAUGAGGCAAUGCUUACUCUGACUUUUGACGUUUUCAAGUGUACAGUUGAAAGUCAACAACAUGGGUGAAUGUGGCAACCCCUCCUUACAAAAUCAGAGACAGUCACUGCCAAGCCGCUUCGUGGAUUGUCAUUAGCUUCCAACGAGAAACAGGUGCACAAUCAAGGUCUAAAGAUAAAGAGGGUUAAGUGCAAGACAGCAGCCAUGACGUGUCGGUCCACGUACAGCCUGUCUGCCUGAGGGCUCAGUGAUCCAAAAAGACACUGCAGGUCAGCACUUCAGAGUGUCCGCAACAUCCGGGGUUACUUAACCCUGUGGCUUGACAAGCAGCAGAGAUUUGCAAACAAUGAUAGCUUCUGUGCCACUUCAGCCGAACACUGGCUCUGAAAACAGCCUCAGUAUCUGACAAGCUCUCAUUCCUGGGCUUGUGGCGUGGCUGUCCAUUGAGAGAGCCUAAGUAUAUCUUCAUGCCGAGGGGAUGGGAGCAUUUAUAUAAAUAAAUGUGUGCACUGAUUACAGCACUGCUGCCCAAGAGCUUGAUGGGCGAUGACGAUCCGAUUUCGCCAUGGCAGCUUAUGUUUACAGAACCCGGCUCCACUGCAGACAGGACAUCGAAUGUGUAACGCAGUAUUUAAAUGUCCACUGACAUUUACAGCUCGUGUCAGCCCAAGAGGGAAGAGGCGUUGGUGUCCCAGUCUGCCAAGGAGGGCUCCUGCUAUGGAAUGAAUGGUGUCACCCCGAAUCUCAUGUGUUGAAACCCUAAUGCCAAAUGGGAUGGUAUUUGGAGACGGAGCCUUUGGGAGAUGAUGAUGUUUACAUCAGGUCGUGAAGGUGGGAUCCUUAUGUUGGGAUUCGUGCCCUUGUAAGAAGAGACACCAGGGCACACAUGCUCCCUCGUGCUCCACCCCCCUCUCUCUGCCCUGCGAGACCAUCCGUAAACCAAGAAGAGGAACCUCUCAAGUACCCAACCAUGGUGCCACCUGGAUGUAAACAUUUCUGCCUCCAGUACUAUAGAGAAAUAAAUUUCUGUUAUUUAUGCCACCCCAUCUAUGGUCCAGUUAACCCUUAAACAACACAGGUUUGAAUUGCACGGGUCCACUCCUACGGGCAUUUUCUUCUACCUCUGCCACCCCGGAGCCAGCAAGACCAAUCCCUCCUCUCCGCUCUCAUCUUAGGCUACUCAAGGUGAAGACGAUAAGGAUGAAGACCUUCAUGACGAUCCACUCCCACUUCAGAAAUAGCAAAGAGCAGAACAUACUGAAAAUCAGCAACUCUGCGAUCCAUCAGAAAAUAGAGAUCACAAGACGAAAUGCUGCCUGAAGACUGGACAGACAGGUGGCAGAUUUUCACUCUUGUUGCCCAAGCUGGAGUAUAAUGGCGCAAUCUUGGCUCACUGAAACCUCCACCUCCAGGGUUCAAGUGAUUCUCCUGCCUCAGCCUCCUGAGUAGCUGGGAUUACAGGUGCCUGCCACCAUGCUCGGCUAAUUUUUUGUAUUUUUAGUAGAGAUGGGGUUUCGCCAUGUUGGCCAGGCUGGUCUCGCACUCCUGACCUCAGGUGAUCCACCCGCCUCAGCCUCCCAAGGUGCUGGGAUUACAGGCGUGAGCCACCGUGCCCGACCAGAUUUCAGUUUCUAUUAGCUUUCAACAACACUUUCGUGCAUGAGUGACGCUGGCGGCCAUGUACUCAGCCAUUCCAUCAAGGUUCCAAGCAGCAAAGCUGCAAAAUGGAUCUGACUCCUUCAGUGAAGAAGAGUCUCCCUGAAUGCAUUGGAAACACUCAUGAGAUGCUACUGAAGCAAGUAAGGGAAGCCUGACUGUGGACAUGCUCUCUGUCUCUUAGGCUCACAGUACUCCAACCACAGAAAUGAGAUGCCUCAAGGGAGGCAGAGGCAGAAAGAAGCCAUCACUAUAAACCAAGAAUAAAGCCAGCAGAGCUACAGUGAUGGCCUGUGUGCUGCAGGUGAGCAUCACCUUGUUGUAAGGCCACAGGCUUUCCUGGCCACCCUGCUCAGUUGGCCGCAUGGUGGGAGUCACUAGACUCAAGAUAGACCCAGCCAGACCAUCUGGUUAGAGCUACCCAAGGAAAAGCCAUUGUCAGCACAAAGUCACUGGAGUCUUAGAAUGCACAGCUGUGAUGGGCUGAUUCCUUCUCCCAAAUCCCUGUUAAAGCCCUAACGCCCAGGACCUCAGAAUGUCACCAUAUUUGGAGAUAGUCUUUAAAGAGGUGAUUAAGGUAAAACAAAGUCACCAGGGAGGGCCCUAAUCCGAGAAGACUGGGGUGCUUAUAAGAAGAGGAGAUGAGGCCGGGCGUGGUGGCUCACGCCUGUAAUCCCAGCACUUUGGGAGGCCGAGGUGGGUGGAUCACGAGGUCAGGAGAUCGAGACCAUCCUGGCUAACACGGUGAAACUCCAUCUCUACUAAAAAUAGAAAAAAUUAGCUAGGCAUGGUGGCACGCACCUGUAGUUCCAGUUACUCGGGAGGCUGAGGCAGGAAAAUCGCUUGAACCUGGGAGGUGGAGGUUGCAGUGAGCGAAGACUGUGCCACUACACUCCAGCCUGGGCAAGAGAGCGAGACUCCAUCUCACAAAAAAAAAAAAAAAAAAAGAGGAGGAGAUGAGGACACAGACACACAGAGUGACGACCCUGCGAGGACACAGUGAGAAGAUGGCAUCUACAAGCCUACGAGAGAGGCCUCAGGAGGAACCAGCCCUGCCUACACCUUGAUCUUGGACUUACAGCCUCCAGGAUUGUGGGAGAAUAAACGUCUGUUGUUUACAAGCCAUCCAGUCUAUGGUAUUCUGUGAUAGCAGCCUGAAAUGGACUAAGACACCUCAUAAGAAAAGGAGAUGAGGACACAGACACACACAUAGGGACAACCCUGUGAGGACACAGGGAGAAGAUGGCAUCUCCAAGCCCAGGAGAGAGGCCUCAGGAGGAACCAGCCCUGCCCAUACCUGGAUCUCAGACUUCCAGCCUCCAGGAGUGUGAGAGAAUCAAUGUCUGUUGUUUAUAAGUCACCCAGUCUAUAGUAUUCUGUGAUAGCAGCCUGAGAUGGACUAAGACACCUCAUAAGAGGAGAUGAGGACACAGACACACACAGAGGGGCGACCCUAUGAGGACACAGGGAGAAGACGGUGUCUACAAGCCCAGCAGAGAGGUCUCAGGAAGAACCAGCCCUGCCCACACUUUGAUCUCACAGACUUCCAGCCUCCAGGACUGUGGGAAAAUAAGUCUGCUGUUUAAGCGGCCCAGCCUGUAGUAUUUUGUCAUGGCAGCCGUAGGUGACUAAUACAACAGGUGUUUCAUCCCGUUCCUUUCCUCAGGUGGUGUUGCAGAGUACCCCAGCAUCUUUAGGUGGUGGUAGAAGAGACGCCAGCAUCUGCCAUAACAUCCGGAAGAGGGUUCUGUAUGUUACACUGUGGGGAGGUUUGCCUCCAAGCAUUAGAGUGAUCUGAACAAUGGGAAUCUUUGCACAGAGGACGGUGAGUUCUACUCGGGGAUGGUACCUACUAAGACAGACAUGUUGUCUUCUCUUCAAUUGCCCUUUAACGAAGAAAUAAAAAUUAUUUAAUUAUUCGGUGAAGAAAUACAAAGAGUAUUGCAUUCUUUCAACAGAGAUUCUGCACUUGUACUCCCAGGUAUUUAUGAAACCUCACGUUGAUGCCUGGUGCAUAGGCCAGGCAGUGGGGCUGUACCUAAGUAAUGCCUGGUGGUUGGCCAUGGGUAGCUGGAGCACCAAUAGCAUACUCUAAUAGUCCAUGACAUCGGUCUACUCAAGGGCCGUGGCUCAAAUAGAAGGCUUUGGUUGGAGGAAUUCAAAAGAGGUUCUACUGAGAAGGAACCUAUGAAUCAGAGCUGCCACAAUACUUUUGGAUUGUGCGGUUCAAACGCCAUAUUGGUUUUCUUCCAGCUCUCCAGCUCCAGCAGCACUGAGGCAGAUCUGAGUUUCUCGAAGCUGGGCCCAUCACCAGCAAGAUAGUGAUGGUGAAAGCAAUGAUAGAAGAGGUCUAAUUUAGAGUAAGGAUCAGGAUGGACAGGUGGGUACAUCUAUGCAACCCUAACCUUUCUAAAACUACCUAGGCAUAGAUAUUUUCCUGAAGACUAGUCUCAGCCUGCCUGGAUGGUCCCUCAUGGCUACUGUCUGAUUUGAAAAGUAAACCUAUGAAAAGUGGAAAACACUAUGAUAUCCACCACUGUUUUGUCACACCAAUUCUUGACAUUAAAUCUCUCGAAGGACAUUAGUAUGACAUUCAAAUCCUAGCCCCCAGGAAAGCUUCACUUUAGUUUUUUGUUUCCUGGGUGUCCCUUCCUACAACCCACUAAGCAAAUGCCACACACCCUCCUUACAUGCAUAAAACAGUGCUGAUAAUGGAUGAAACACACAAGUAUCAGCUCAUGCCUGCACUUUCAGAGAAAACACUCUUGCUUAGACCAUGGGUAUGUCAAGCUGCCAAGGAUACAAAAGGUAAAACAAUCCAAGGGCAACAGAUGGUUCAUGACAAAGAACUAAGAGGGCAGCACUGCGAUUCCAAAAAUUUGGAUAUGGACGUCAAUGAGAGUGAAUGAGAGAGAAGG